Molecule: long non-coding RNA, 1397 nt
Organism: Gallus gallus (chicken)
Lineage: Eukaryota; Metazoa; Chordata; Aves; Galliformes; Phasianidae
Source: Ensembl
AGUCUUGUAACCUGUCUUCAAACUCCCUUAUCAAAAUGGAAAGCAAGGUUGUAUAUUAUUCACUGUCCACAGGACUGUGUUUAGCCAGUGCAUCAAAAUGCAUAAAAUUAUUUUCCUUAACUUGAGCUAGCUCUGCACUCUGCCCUCCUCAUGUCACAGUUUCAAUCCAGACAGUGCUGACAAAAUACGAGAAUGACACAAAGCUAUAGCAGGGAAGGUUCAGACUGUACAUUGGGAAAAAAUUAUUUAAUGUAAGGGUGGUCAAAAACUGGAACAGGCUUCCUAGAGAGCUUGUUGAUGCCCCAGGCUUGUCAGCGUUCAAGAGGCAUGUGAAUAAUGCCCUCAGUAGCAUGCUUUAACUUUUGGUUAGUCCUGAAGUGAUCAAGUAGUUCGACUGGAUGAUUGCUGAACGUCCCAUCCAAAUGAACUAUUUUAUUCUAAAUAUGAGAACAAGAAGGGGGCAAGGCAAGGCUCAUUGCUGCUCCAGGUGAGUUUUGCAGAAAUCAAGCAUGCUCUGUCACUGAAUGAUCUGGGACCCUGAAGAAAGGUUCCUAUCAUUUCUCACGGUUGCUAUGAGAAGGGGGCAAAUCGUUGUUGAAGAAAUGGUUGCUUCAGGUUCUGCUUAAGAUUCUACAACUGAGGACAGGCAUCUAAGUAAUCUAUCAAUGAUUCCCUCUUCUAGUAUAUCUUCUUCCCCUCAAGGAAAUUAGCAGACUGAAGGCUAGUUCCUUUUCCUCAUCCAUGAGAGUCUCUUCAUUCAAAGUCAGUCCUAUAGGGAGAGGACACUUAAGGAACUGUGAGUUGCAAGCAUAUAUUGUCUAUGGUGAAUAGAAGCAGAGCCAAGGUGAAGAAAACUCAGAGAAAAAAAAGAUAACAUUUCCAGCUCUACAGGAAAUAGUUACCAAAAUGUCAUUUAGAAAAAUUGCCAAGGCUCCAGAGGCUCAUCUGUAGCCCCGUGCUGUGAUGUUCUUGGCCUGUUUUUACCAGGAAACUUUGCCAUGGAGCUACACACAAACCUACUCGUGAUUACGAUAUACACUGAGCUCCAAAGUGCAGCAAACUCUCUUCAGGUGCGUGUUCUUGCCCUGGGAGAAGGGAGGACUGCAGAGAGAACCAGAGGCCAUGCUGCAGUGUAAAACAGACCUCUCUUGAAUUGUUCAGGUUUUCCCUCCCUCACCUCUGGGCACACUGCUGGCUUUUGUUCAGGCAACUGUCAACUAACAUUCCCAGACCCUUUUUAGCCACUCUGCCUCAAGCCUGUAGCACUGCAUGGGGAUUAGCAAUCAAAGUGCAGGUCCUGGCACUUGAUCUUGUUGAAGCUCAUUCCAUUGGCCUCAGACCAUCGACCCAGCCUAUCCAGAUCCCCCUGCACGGCCUUUGUACCCUCAGGCAGAUCA